Molecule: long non-coding RNA, 733 nt
Filed under: Helianthus annuus (common sunflower)
Lineage: Eukaryota; Viridiplantae; Streptophyta; Magnoliopsida; Asterales; Asteraceae
Source: RNAcentral
CUAAACCUUUUUCCCAAUUUUUUUUUUCAAUUUCCAUCAAAACUGCUCCCGUUCUUGAUUCCAAACCCUAACCGUGUCAUUUCAUUCCACAACUUCUUUCCAGAGAAAGAAACUGCAGAUUCCUUUUUGCAGUGAAGAUGCAUAAACCAUAGACGAACAACAUGCUUGUUCUUUACAAUAUGGAAUCCGGACAACAUGCUCGCGAAAUCCCCACUUAAUCCGACCACAUUAAGCUCCAAUCCGUCAAGAUGCAACAAAAAAGAAACAAUGUAGGGCAUCAAAUGACCAUUGGUGACUAAUUGAAAAAAAGCAAAGUAAGGUAUCAGAAACAAAAUACAAAAAAGCUAAAAAGUAGCAAAGGGGGAUCAAAGAAUUGAUUGGUUCUUGUUGACGAGGAUGAUGGGAUAUUUCAAGGUAUCAGUUUGUGAGAUUUUAAGACAAAAUAAAUGACAAACUACAAACCUUCAAGCGGGAGCCUUGAAAUUGAAAAACACAUAGUUGCUUGAAAUGUGAAAAGAAAAUGAAGACUACCAGCAAAGGAAAAAAUCUGAGCUAGAAACUAGGCGGAAAAAUUUUCACAGCCAACAUGCAAACUCUGAAGCUACGAUACGUCAUACUGUGAAAAACUACGUAUUAGAGUACUUUGGAAUCUUAGAGAUGAGUAGAAGGUUUUCGUUACUUUUAUUCAUUGUAAUUGACAGCUAUAUUUUAAUUACAUUGUUACUUUGAGGUU